CGGAAGAGGAUUAAAGUAAACUCAUAAACCAAAGAACAAUAAAACAAGAACUUACUAGAAUUAGAAGUCGAAUUACUGAAGAAUCUUAGAAGCAAGCCUCGGGUUAGAAGACUUGAUCCCGUAGGUACAACUCGGAGUAGACACCGACAGGCCGGCCUUCCUCCGAUCUACGCCUCCACUCUAUCUCUCUCAAUCUAGUAGAAACUAGAAGAUCUAUUUCUACUUUACAUUGGUUGCUAAGCCUAAAAAGAAAUAUUAUUUAGAGAAGAGGUUUUCCUUCGAGGGCACCCCUCAAUCUCUAUGAUAAUUUCUUGUCUUCUCCAGGGGCCAGAGGGGGUCUCCUUAUAUAGUCCUCCCCUUCUAUGCGUUUUUGGGUCGAUAGGCGAGGUGGUACUAUGUUAUUCUGGAUCCAAUAGGUCGGUGGAACGUCGUGUGCGAAGAGAGUCCGGAACGGAGUCCAGAGGGGGGCGGGCGCCCAGGUCCUCAGGGCGGGCGCCCUGGGCCUGGCCCCUUUCGGGCUCCGCUUCCUUCCCGUGGCUUCUGGAGUCUUCUAGAUGGUAGAAAAUUGCGCGGUGGGUUGAUAUCUCUAUGUAAUCCCGACAUGUGGGCCUUUCUUCCUUAUUUCCUGAUAACCCCCUGCAGAAAUAGACAAACACCAAAACUCGUGGAAUUCUGUCAGAUAAAACCCUAAGUCUAGAUGUUGAUUUCAUUUGGAUCCUUUUCUUUGUUUAUUUGAUAAUUAAAUUUGAUACUUAAGGACCGUCAACAAACUCCCCCAAGCUUACCUCUUGCUCGUCCCUGAGCAAGGAUAGACUCAGCUAUGGAUCAUAAGUAGUUGCAAUAUCUUUAAAAAUUUGACGGUACACAUGCUUUUAAAUAAGAUCUCAUCUCUGGGUUAGAGUAAACUGUUAAGACUUGAAACUUACUUACUUUACCUACACCAUAGGACUUGUAACCGUCACUUCUGUCUUGAGUGGUUAAGAGAUAGAACAGUCUAGCCAAGUGCCAUGUCUCUUAUUCUUGAUCAGCUAUAGCUCUGGGGUUUUUGCAGAUUUUCAAAUAAAACUCAGAAAUUCCUUGUUUGAUUCUCUCAGGUCUCUCUUUUGUGGUAUUUUUGGAUCCUUACCAAGGCAGUGAUGGUAUAUGCCUUCUCUCAAGAUAUGUAGUAUUUGUGGUAUGAAGCAUAGUGACAUUGUCUUCUCUCUCACCCUACUCUAAUAAGGCUUUAAUAUCUGGAGCUCAUAGGUGGGAGAUAAAGUAUACAUACUUACAAGACAUUUAUUGCAUAGUCAAACCAUGGAUCCAAAGAAACAAAUCAAUAAGCCAAAUCAAGAUGUGCAUGUGUGGCGAAUGAAUGGUGUAUGGUGAUGAUGGUGAUAACAAUGGUGGUGGAAGUCUAAUUCUACUUUGCUCUUUGAGGGGAUACAUACCUUCCUUGCUUUUGAAACUUUAUGAGGAGAAUGAGAUGCUCUUCUUUUUUUUCUCUCAGGUGGGUAUCUUGCACCCCUAAUUCUACUGUCGGACACUUGUCCAUUUUUACCUCUCGUCUCACUUUUUCUUUUCUUUCGAGGUUCCGAGCACUUGCUCCUUUUUAUUUCCUCGUAUCUCUUUUUUCUUUUUUUCAGAGCAUUCAUCUCUUGAGAUAAUAUAGCAAGUGGUAGUAACAAGAUAACUUGAGCAUUUAUUUCACAAGGGGAAACAGAAAUAUUUUUGGUUAUUCUCUCCCGGAUUAGGAGUAGAAUACUUUUGGGUGGUUUUGGAGAUGGAAAUGAGUGGAUAUAUGUGGAUGGUACUUCCGGAGUAGAAGUAGCAUAUAUGAGUGAACGUGCAAGUGAAUCUUGAUUUAACCAUAUGACAAGCUCCUAAGGGUCUACACAGCUUGACCACACUCAAUGCUCAUAAGCAGUAAAUAGUAAAUGUGUGGCUCAAGGUCUAGCAAGCAUGUAUAUAUGGCUGUGGUAGGAAUUUAAACUCUCAUCAUACAGGAACUCAUCAUGCAUCAUUUUAAAGAUUUUCACAGAUAAAAUUCUCCAGAAUUCUAGCAUCUCUAGGAACAGAUAAACAGCAGCUCAACCUUCCCAUAUCGUAUCCGUUAACAACUUAAGUUUUCAUCCCACAAGUUUAGGUCUAGAGCAAGCCUUAAAUUAUAACAGUUAUGUCUAAACUUGAGAGAGAACUUUAAAUUUGCAAAUUAGGCAGAGCAACUAUUCAUCAUAUCCAUGCUUAAGUUUUAUUAUUAAGAUUCAGAUUAGCAUAGCCACUUUAUUUAUUUAUUAAACACACUAAGCAAAAUAUAUAUAAGCAUAAAAUCUUUAUUUGGUUUUUCAUAGUUAUGUGUAUUUAUAUUCUAAAAUAAUAUAAGUAUGAAGAUAGAUAGAAAUACUUAUCGAGGUAAAUGGGGGUGCUCUCCCCCAAGCUGAAUUUUGACGUAAUUUCUCUUGAUGUAGCUAGCAGGUGGCAGAGGUGUAUUUGAAAGCCAGCAGCAUUCUGACAGCAAUUAGAAUGUCCUCCGUCUGCUAGUCUUCUUGAUUCUUAAAUUCUGUGGAGCUCAAAUAGACAACAAAGCUUGUGGAACUGAUUAAGUGUUAGCAUAAAUAUCUAGCCUUUAUUAUCUUGAGACUCCUUAAUAAUUAUUACUCCCUGUUUUUAUAUUUUUGUUUUUAUAAAGUAGAAAAAUAUUUAUUUUAUUUUUAUGCCACCACAGUGAAUGUACUUAUGGGUUUUAUGCCACUCGUCUACUCACAUGGGGCUUACUGUUUUUCACAUUUUUAUUUUCUUUUUAAGAUAGCAUGAACCUGAUUAACUAAGCAAACUAUAAUUGAAUAAUUGAAAGGAAAAGGAUAACUACCAAGUUUACCUCUUGGCAAGGCGUUCGGUGUUUUUAAGUCCUCCGAAUGGGACUCCUUGUGUUUUUAGUCGUCCUGGGAUUCGCUAGGUGGCGUAGUCGGUGAUUCCGGUGGCGCCUCCUCUUUGUGUAUAACUAUGUUCUCUUUCCAUACCUGACUCGGUGCUACAGUCUCCUCAGGACAGUUCUGUUCGUUGUAUGUCUUCAGUCCUUAUCACUUCUCCUUCGUAGUCUACCCAUCCGUCCUUGAUGAUUUGCCUCCUCUGGUUGCGGUGGCGUUGUCUUCUUCUUGUCCUGACCUGCUUAGAAUCUUCAACUAUAUAGUUAGAAUCAUUAAAGUAGUGGCGUACCUUCUCAGAGGGGAAGUGCAUGUGGACUUCUCCGGUUCCAAUAUAGAUAAUGGCUUUGAUAGUGCUGAGGAACGGUCUUCCAAGGAUGGUGGAUGGAUCAUACUCGUCUUCUCCCAUGUCAAUGACCUGAAAAUUGUCUGAAGCUGAAUGUAUCUUGGUUGUAGGAGCAUGGUUCCAUGUAGGAGCUGAUAAGUGACUGCGGCCAUUAUGUUGUCGUUAGAUCCGGUGUCGUAGAGUGUCUUCUGAAAAGAGUAUCCGUUGAUUGUGCACUCGAUGCUUGGAACACCAGGGUUGUCCUUCUUGAUCAGGAAUGGCGACUUGAGUCGACGAUCUUGACCUCUUUGAACUGCAGUGACCAUCUUAGCUGACUCAGUCCACAUUUGCUUGUUCCUGUUCCUCCUAUUGGUCCUCUUCCUUGGUUCAUGUCGGGUUUGCUCUGAAGCUUGUGUAGUCUUGUUCUUGAAGGAAACUCUCCUUCUUCCCCUUGAUGUAGAGACUGAUCUUGGCAGCAUUAGCGUAGAUGACUGCUCUGGUGUUUAGGAAUGGCCUCCCUAAGAUGAUGGGUGCUCUCUCCUCACUACCAGUCUCUAUCACCACGAAGUUUGCUGGAGUGUACAAGGUACCAACUCGGACACAGAGGUUCUUCAAUAUUCCUUUGGGAAACUAAGUGUCUGAUCUCCAUUGUGUUUGUGCUCGUAGAUCUCGGUUCUUCACUUGAUGGAAUCUGAGAGUUGUAAAACGCCUUCACGUUUCUCAAAAUGUGUCCUGCUCAUAGAGACAAGGCAGAGAUCAAGUGCAUGGGCCCUGUUGGUGGAAAACACCAACAGAACCAAAAGUGUAUUUGUUCUUCUCUAACCUUAAGCAUAUUGAGCAAGACAAAGUUGAUGGAUCAUGAGUGUAGCAUUUAAAACAUUUGUUAGAUCAGAUGGCUCAACCUAAUGGAAAGAUAAUCUAUCUAUAUUUAUGUUUUGUUUAUAUCUUCCAAAGAUUGAAUGUGCAACAUAUUAGCUUAUAUGAUUAGGAGUGUGAGAUCACGAAGGUAGUACUAAGAACAAAGAUUAAAGGACUAAACAUGCUGAAUCAGUUAGGUUAAUUUAGAGUUAUAAAUCAUACAUGUUUGUCUCUUUAUUUAUGUGAAUGCCAGAACCAAGACGAAGCUUAUAAAAGCGAUAGUCAAGUACCUUAAGAUGUUACCUUACUUGAAGAGUGAUGGUAUAGUAUCACCUUGUGGAAGCUUUCCUUUUUUAGCGGUUGUGCAUUGUGUUUGUGGCACCCUCCAUGGAUCAUCUCUUUAUGAUGAAUGAGCUAUGUCCUUCUUGUGCAAAAUGUUAAAUUUCAUGUGUCUCCUUUAUCUCCAAUGAGUUUGUAUCUCAGGACUUCCCAGGUUGAUAUUGAAAGUUUUCCUGCAGGGGUUAGUCCCACAAAAUAUACCAAUAUCUACUCAAGCAGUUUUUAGUUCAGUAACCAAACUAGACUCCAUGUCUAAUCAGAUUAAGGAAGGUUGUUUAACCUAAGCACCAUGCUCAAUUUAAAAGCCAAUGGAAGUAUGUCGAGUACUUCCAAACCAACACUUACUAGGAUAAACAAAGGUAGCAUGAUGGCAUUUAUAGAGAUCUACUCAAGUGGAGAUGAAGUAGUGUGAUUAGUACUUAACAAAUUGAGCAUCUCUCAAAGGUAGGGACAACCAACGUAGCAACAUGGCAAAGGAUAUUUUUAUGUAAAGUACUCCCCCAAGCUUGAAUUUUGCAAAAUUCAAGUUUGGAUGAAUUUAAUUCAAUGUUGUGUGAUGGUUGGUUGGACAUACCUUGUGCUUGUCAUUCAUCCGAUCUUCUUGCUCCAAUCCUAGAAAGGUUAGUGACAAGAAUACCCGAAGGAAUAUUUCUACAAUUAUCUUUAUAUGCUCAAUACAUAAGGCAAUGUUGCAAAUAAUUAGAAGUUCAUGUUACGAUCUGAUCAGUGCGAAUUAAGCAAUGGUUUAGGACACUAAGCAAAUAAUUAAGCAAAUAAUUAGAAGUGCUAUUUUUAGGACACUAAGCUUGUCCUUGGAAAACCAUCAAUCAACUCAACGAGAUCUGCAAUAUUUAUUAUAGACAUAUGCAUCGACAACCGCUCUUUUAAAGUUUUUAUAAAUAGAAAAGAAGAGAGGGUUGGAGAUCUCAAAUGUGGUAAGGAUGGAGAGACCAAUUGAUUGGGGAGAUGUAUUAUAUGAGCAAGGACUUGGUGAGGUAUUUAUGAAAUAACUUCCAUGCUCACUGUUGUUUCUCUCAUUCUCAAACUCCAAGGAUGAUUCUUCAUGAAUGCUUAAAAUUCCUCUAGGAUUGUCUCUCAAGUUUGUUUUAUCUAUCCAUUCAAUGGUGAUAGCACAUGGAUUUUUAAUGCCCUCUAGCCAUUGAUGUUGCUCCUCUCGAUCCUCCUUCUUAUGCAUGGAAUGUCUAGAGAGAUUCAUAGGAUUAUCGAGAGGUUCAAGAGAAAGAGCAUAGUAGAAACUAUUAAGCUCAAGGAUGGGAUGGAUACCCGAAUUAUGGGAUUGAAAUGUUUGGAAAUCGGCUAUUGAAACUUCCUUUCCUCGUCUGGGAGAUGAUUCCUUCUCUAUCUCUAGGAUUUUUCUAUGAAGACUAGUACAAGAAGGAUGUCCACGAAUGAAGACAUACCUUCCUUUACUAAUAGAUAAAGAAAGAAGGACUCUACCAAAGGUUAUAUGAUUAAGACCAAUGUGAAAAUAUUUAGGAAAAACAUGGUCUUGUAGGGCUAGGUCUAAACCAGAAUUUAUAGAAAGAUUAACAGAUUCCCUAGGUGUAGCUAAAAGUGCAUUAUCUUCUUGAUUAAAAGAUAGGACCUCGGCUAUAGAAAAGGGUUGGUUUUGACCUAUUGCAAUCAACUCCGGACACAGAUCAUAAUUAGGGGCAGGACGUGUUGACUCCCAUGGUCUAUGGCUGGUCUCCGAAGGUGCAAAGAAUUCAAUAAUAGGUAUGGAAUUUGAGUUAUCCAUAAAGAUAAAAAUAAAUAGAUAAAAGAAUAAAAGUAUAAAAGUAUAAUACAAGAUAAUAGCAAGAUUCAAAGUUAUCUCAGCAAACCGUCUUUCUCCCCGGCAACGGCGCCAGAAAUGCUUGUUGAUAUUUGGUAACGCAAUUAGAAAAUGAUCCGCAAGCGCACGGAUAUCGGUGAGCAUUUCACCCGGGAGGUUAUCGAGAGUUAUCGUAUUUAUAUUUUUACCACUGGGAGAAAGGGUGCAUCUGACUAACCAAAUCUAUUGCUACUACCCCUUUAGGCUAAAAAGAAUGUCUCUCGAUGUGAGUGAUGUAUAGAGAAGAUUGCAACCGUAGUCUCGUUCUAACCUUGGUAAGGAUGAUCUAUUGUUCUAUUGGGGAGGCUCACGGAAUCUAGACAACACAAAGGAUGUUCGACCCGCACCUAUAAACCUACCCGUCCUGCUAACGAGAUGUGAUCUACAAAGGUAACUCGGAAAUGUCACGUUCCUCGCUACUACCACGGUCCAGCUAGUCAGGGGAUAUCUAUGAGUACCCUAGCCUAAACACCACGUUUACGCUAGCAAGUGAUUACUCUAAUACUCAACCAGAAGAGGAUUAAAGUAAACUCAUAAACCAAAGAACAAUAAAACAAGAACUUACUAGAAUUAGAAGUCGAAUUACUGAAGAAUCUUAGAAGCAAGCCUCGGGUUAGAAGACUUGAUCCCGUAGGUACAACUCGGAGUAGACACCGACAGGCCGGCCUUCCUCCGAUCUACACCUCCACUCUAUCUCUCUCAAUCUAGUAGAAACUAGAAGAUCUAUUUCUACUUUACAUUGGUUGCUAAGCCUAAAAAGAAAUAUUAUUUAGAGAAGAGGUUUUCCUUCGAGGGCACCCCUCAAUCUCUAUGAUAAUUUCUUGUCUUCUCCAGAGGCCAGAGGGGGUCUCCUUAUAUAGUCCUCCCCUUCUAUGCGUUUUUGGGUCGAUAGGCGAGGUGGUACUAUGUUAUUCUGGAUCCAAU
This 7183-nucleotide long non-coding RNA is filed under the name Sorghum bicolor (sorghum). RNAcentral describes it as "long non-coding RNA (SBIC_LNC004759)". Lineage: Eukaryota; Viridiplantae; Streptophyta; Magnoliopsida; Poales; Poaceae. The record is from RNAcentral.